CAGUCCGUAUUUUUUAUUGUCCGAUCUCUCGGGGUAAACAAAAUAAACGAAACGAAACUCAAACGACCUUUUCUAUAUUUCAGUGUUGAUUUCCCAGGGAUCGAAUUGCUUGAUGCAUGGAGUGUAGUUAGAGGAGCAGGAGUAAGAUUAGCAGCAGAAGUAUUGUUUCAGAUGCAAUAAUUCUUGCUCACAAUCAGCAGCGGCGACGAAGUCUUCGAAGUGAGCGGAGCAGAGAUUGAGAUUCUCCCGUCACUGCCCCGCUACAAAGUUAAGAUAAACCGACUGACCGAGAGUCCUCCUCUGACAGCUACAGUCUGAGGUUUGAAAAUGUUCAUCAACCAAUCAUUCAAAUAGAGACUCUAAACACAAUGAGACAGAUUAGCUUGCUUGCUGCAGGGUGUCAGCCAUGGAACAGAGAUGUUUGUGCUGCCUCAGGUGAUAGGUUUGCAUACUGUGCCACUUUAGCUGUCUACAUCUACCAGCUGGAUAGAGUCUACAAUGAAUUUAAGCUGCAUUCCAUUGUAGCUGAACACCGUAAGACCAUCACCGCCCUUGCUUGGCACCCUAAGAACUCGGACCUCUUUGCAACAGCCGGAGCGGAUAACCGGAUCAUCGUGUGGCAUGUCUCAGAGCAGCGGGUCGCCUACUCGUUGGAGGGGACCAGGGCCACCCCGACCUCUCUCAGCUGGUCAAUGGCGGACGACCUCGUCCUAAGCUUUUGCAGUGGGCGUGGUCCAUUGCAGGUUUGGAACAUGCACCUGGCUAACAGCAUCAAUGCCCACAAGGAAGCGGCCAACUUUGCGUCAGAGGUUACUCUUGUCCGAUGGCAUCAUCAACAGGUUGGGAAGCUGGUGACUGGCCAUUUGAAUGGGAGCUUGUCAUUCUUCACCACCGGUAAGAAGUGUUCCAAGCACGUUCUCCAACCCGAAUCCGAGGAUGAAGACGAAGACGAUCCCGUUGUCGCCUUGGAAUGGGAUCCGUUAUCGGAGGACUACCUUCUCGUCAUCAAUGAACAGGGUGAGAUGCGGAUGAUAGACAGUGUUUCCCUGAAUGUCAUUGUGACGUUUGUUCUACCAAGUACGGCCACCAGCGUCCGCACCAUGGCAUGGGUUCCUACUGCUCCAGGCAUGUUUGUAUCAGGAGAUGCACGUCAAGGGGUACUUCGUCUCUGGAAUGUCUCUAAGCCCACACCUAUCCUUAGCCUCAAACUAAAGACCACUGGUUUCCAUUCCCUAUGCGUCUUUAACGCAUCACCCACCGGCUCUGACGACUACGAUUCCCUGUCGUCGGCCACCAACUCAUCAUCAUCCUCCACGUCGUCCUCACCGGCUCAUAGCAAUAACCAUGUAUCAUCGACGAGUCAAGCGGUAGCUCCACGACGGACGAACGAUCUUUAUUCACCGUACGCCCUUCCACCCGGCCAUGCUGUGUGUACAUUUGAUGAUGGUGGGGUGGGGCUCUAUGAUUUGGGGAAAAGACGAUGGGAUUUCCUCAGAGAGUUGGGUCAUGUAGAGACAAUCUUCGACUGCAAAUUCAAACCUGACAACCCCGAUCUCUUGGCGACGGCAUCAUUUGAUGGCACCAUGAAGGUAUGGAACAUCAAUUCCUGGACCGCUGUAGACUCCUCACCAGGCAAUGAAGGCAUCAUAUACUCCAUCUCAUGGGCACCUGCUGACCUGAACUGUUUGAUGGCAGGCACAUCAAGGAAUGGGGCUUUCAUAUGGGACAUCACAAAGGGGAAAAUAAUCAAGAGAUAUACUGAGCAUGGACGAACUAGUGUCUACUCUGUAGCAUGGUGCCAUAAAGACUCAAGAAGAGUUGCGUCAUGUGGAGCUGAUAACUACUGUAUUGUUCGUGAGAUUGAUGGGAAAAUGCUGCAGAGAUACAGGCAUCCAUCAGCUGUGUUUGGAUGCGAUUGGAGUCCUAAUAACAAAGACAUGCUUGCCACAGGGUGCGGCGAUGGCAAGGUAAGAGUAUAUUACAUAGCAACGGCCAACGAGCAACCAUUAAAAACCUUCCCCGGUCAUACAGCUAAGGUAUUCCAUGUACGAUGGUCUCCUUUAAGAGAUGGUAUACUAUGUAGUGGCUCAGAUGACGGGACAAUACGUAUAUGGGACUAUACUCAGGAUAGCUGUGUAAACAUAUUAGUAGGUCAUGGUGCUCAUGUGAGAGGGCUAAUGUGGAAUCCAGAGAUACCCUAUCUUCUCAUCUCGGGCUCGUGGGAUUACACUAUUAGAGUAUGGGAUACCAGGGAUGGUGCAUGUGUUGAUAAGGUAUUAGAUCAUGGUGCUGAUGUGUAUGGUCUAGCCAUGCAUCCCAAUAGACCCUUUAUACUCGCAUCCUGCUCAAGGGAUUCCACCGUUAGGAUCUGGUCUCUGACAUCACUGGUGAUGUCAUCACAGAUGAGAGUGAUCGCCAGGAGACCAUGGCAAGAGAUUGUCACAACAACAGAUCAUGCCAUGGCUGUCAACACCAGCACAUUGAUGUCGGGCAAGGCUUCCAGAGACCUCAAGUCCAAGAUAGAUCAUUACCGUGGUAACGUGGAAUUCAAGACAAUAAUCCGGUGGUUCUCUAAUCUCUUUGCAUCCCCUGGCGAUACAGCUAAUCUCUGGGAACUCGUGUCCAUUAUAAACGGUCAAGACGAUAGCCUUCUACCAGAGGAUUAUAGUAAAGGAAUCAUGCACAGAAAACAUCUCAUCAAGUUCAGAUCGUCUGAAGCUAAAGAACUUGAGCUAGCAAAGCUGGGAGGGCGGGGAGGCCAGACAUCGCGGCUACGGGAAGAGAAGGUGAGAGAAGCUGCUGUGCUGCAUAUGAAGCUGGGUGAAACGCAGAGAUACUGUGAGCUCAUGGUAGAGUUGGGAGAGUGGGAGAAAGCUUUGGCAAUAGCCCCGGGAGUGUCCAUGGAUUACUGGAAGCAAUUGGCUGAGAGAUAUGCGGAGAAUCUGUCAGCUGAUGAGAAUCUUGACUGUGUGCCUUAUUAUCUCAUCACUCACAACGUCGAUAAACUGGUCCGCUUUUACUGCCACCGUGGUCAGCUCAACGAUGCGCUCCUCGUCGCGCAGGUGGCCAGCGAGGGACCCAUUACCAUGGAUACAAGAAGCAGAGGAGGGGUUGUCAACGGGAGGACGACGGCGGGGCACGAGGAGGAAGGGGAUGCGGUCCCGAGGAUGAACGGAAUGCAGGAUGAGGAGGAGUCUAACAAAUUGCUUCUGUCUGUGGUUGAUCUGAUGGCUAAUAAAUUCUUUCACAAUGGGUCACCUGUACUAUCUGCAUGCUGUCAUCUUGCUGCCGGGCAACAAAGGCUUGCUUUGUCCAAAUUAAUAAGGGGACACGAGUUAGAGCUGGUCAUAUCGAUAGGAGAGUCACUGAAAGGAGGCAAGAUCUCGAGUUUGGUUACCAUGGCAACUGAGAUGCUAUCAAGAAGAUGCGAAGGACAGGGAAACUGGGAUCUAGCCUAUAACCUAAUUGAAGACAUUCCUAACAACCAUGAUAUGAAGGUCAGGCUUUGUGCGAGGUGUGUAGGAAGUGCAGCUGAGAUCAACCAUAUGCAUGAAAAGGUGGGUUUCCCCCCUCUGGAAGAUUGCAAAGUGAAGGCCCAGAGCCUGUUAGAUGCAGGGAAUGUGAGGGAGGGUGUAUGCUAUUAUCUACUCUCUUCUACACCAGAGGCUGCCAUGUCUGUGGGUCUCCCUGAAGUCAGAAGAAAAAUGAAUCAGUCUGACUGGGUCGUUGGCGAUGUUUACGACCUUCUGCAAUUAAUGGGCUGUAUAAGGACAGACAGGAUCAUGAUGCAGAGUGUCGCUCAGCAGCGAUGUGAGUUGGUCAUCUUGUCUUGCUAUGUUGGAGCUCUAGUAGCUAUACGAAGGGGUUACCGUUCUAUAGUUGCCCAUCUAUUCAGUGUAGCAUUGAGGCUUAUCAGGGAAGGUGGCUUUGGGUCAGAUCUCCCUCUUUCAGACCCUCUUGUUCAGACUGAAUUAGAAGCAUGGAAUGCUGUAUCUGGGACUAACGUAAGUGUUGAUCAUACCAAAUGUGCCCCUCCAACUCCACUCCAAGAAGACUUCUACCGCAAUCUUAUACGACGGGGAGAAUCUUUGACCUUUGACCUUGAAGCAGGUCAUGACUUUGUGACAGGUUCUCAUCUCCCAAGUCACUCAGAUGUUCACCAUUCUCUGCUGACUGGCAAAAGGAUACAGGGCCCUACAUUCUUCCUGGAUGAUGGAAAGUCUGUGAUAUCACUGAACAGUGCCCUCAUGUGGGCUAAAGUGUGCAUGUUCUCACCGGUAGGAUCAGGAAGGCCCAUCAAUCCUUUCUAAUGAUUAUAAUAGAUUCAAUCUUCAGCACAGUUCUCUUUCCAAGGAUGAACAGUGUAGGGGUCAAAGGUCAAAUUUUUACAGGACAGUGCACUCAUCUGCAGGUCAGAUGUCAGUGUUUUGCAGGACAGUACACUCAACUGCAGGUCGGAGGUCAAUUCUUUUUACAGGACAGUACACUCAAGUGCAGGUCAGAGGUCAAGUUUUGCAGGACAGUGCACUCAACUGCGAGUCAGAGGUCAAAUUUUGCCGGACAGUACACUCAAGUGCAGGUCAGAGGUCACAUUGUUAUAGGACAGUGCACUAAAGUACUGGUCAUAGGUCAAAUAUAUGUAGCAGUGAGUUCAAUUUUUUGUGAGAGAGUUCACACAGCAUAGGUCAUACGAGAGGUCAGAGGUCAAAUACUUGCAGAACAGUUCACUUGCAUUGAAUCAUAUAAAUGUACAGUAUAUAUGAGCAGUCAGAUCAAAUUCUUGCGAGAUAGUUCACUCAUCUUUGGUAAUAUCGAGACCACUUUCUGAUGGGCAAAAGAGACAAAAUCUUGUUGAAAAAUAAUAAGAAUUGUCUUGAAAACCAUUAUUAAUUUUUCAUGCAAGAAUGAUUCAUAUUAAUAAAAAAUCUUUUUAAAGAUCGUGUUGAAAAUAAUAAUAUACAUUGUCUUGGAUACUACCUUCAAUGUCUCGUGCAAGAAUGAUUCAUAUUGAUGAAAAAUCUUGUAGAAAAUAACAAUAUAAUGCAUCUUGAAAACUACCUUUAAUUGUUGUGCAGGAAUGAUUCAUAACUGUUGAGCAGGGUAUGAAAUUUAAUCUUUUCAAAGCACAUUCAAGAGAGAUACUGUAUUUAUGGCUUAUUGUGGAUAAUUCACAAUCUCUCUUCUGUUUGUGUACAUGUAGUUUGUUCAUAUUGUUGUCAUAUCUUGACAUCGUCUUUGGUCAAUAGUUUGUCUAUAUUAUGGCAAUACCUCACUUGACACCUGUAUGAACAAAUCAAUUAUAUAUAUACAGUCCGACCUCUCUUAUCCGGACGUGUUGGUACCAGCACGAAUCCGCAUAAGGGAUUUAUCUGGAUCUGGGAGGCCCAAUAUUAAAUACACACAGCUGCCUCCACAAUAGUAGCUGCACGUAGUCUAUUUAGUGGGCAUACACAGACAGAAUUCACUGCAGUGUCAGUGCAAAUUAUAGGCGGUAUUUUUACAGAAAUAAAAUCGAGUGGUGGCCAAAACUGUUGGAUAAUUUACCUGCUCAAAUGAUUGAGGUAUAAAUCGAGCAUACCUCGAGAGAAAGAGAAUGAAUGACUCAAUGAAACUAAGUUUUACAAUUGGAUCAUCGCGGCGGCUAUCGCAGCUUUGCAAUGUCAGCCAUUGUUACACUGACUGUAGGCUUGAACAUAAUAGAUGGCGCUGUCCGUAUGAGGCCUAGCGUAAGCUAGUGAGACAUGUGUUGUGUUUCCCGGGAAGCAAAAAGAGAACGUGAUGAAAUGUUUGCACUGCGCCCCAAUUUCCUGGAAAAUUAUCCUGCCUAAGUUCUUUCGGUGAUUUGGGUGAGAUAUUUUCAUGAAAAAUAAUGUUGUUGUAGGUAGACUAUCUUGAAAAAUAUAUGUAAUCAAAGGGAGUUUGCGUAUAGGAUUGAGUUUAGAUUGCAACCUCAUUUACUCACGUACUAGAUUGGAUUAAAAAGAAAAAAUCUUGGCAAGUGUGCGUCCGGAUAAUAGAGAGAUCCGGAUAAGGGGAGGCCAGAUAAGAGAGGUCGGACUGUAUAUAUUUUAAAAUAGAAAAUAAUCCUAAUUUAAUGAAUGUGUAGUAUUGCCGACACAAUUUUCAUAAUGAUUAUAAUUCAUUGAAAUGUAUUGAUUAGAUUUUUUUGCAAAUGUGGAAAUGACAGGAGGCAUAAAUUUGACUGUGCACAGUCUAGAACCCAUCGAGAUUCGUCAUCUUUCUUGUUCGUGUAGUUCAACUUGCUUUGAUCAAAUUUCAAAAGAAGAUGUUUUUUUAGAGUCCGUCCAAAUUUUUUUUUUGUUCAAUUGAGGGAAGAGUGUUGUAUUUCACGGGUUAAUGUGGAUAACAACUUCUCUCUUUUGAAUUAUUUAUUCAGCUUUUUGAUAUUUUAAAGUGAAUGAGUGCCCUACCACUUUAUAAUUUCAUUUCUUAAAGUCAAGAAAGAAUUGCAUGGGAUAAUGCAAGUUUGACAUUUUAAUGUGUGUAUGAUUUUAAAUGUUUGUUUUGAAAAAAAAAUACAUCUUUAUUUUAGCCACAUGCCUGUAAAGUUUGACUGACACAACUCAAUAGAUACAUGUUCUGCUGCAUGCACGCUUCAUUAAUAUUGUAAAGUAAUGUUAAUGAAUAACAUUUAAUGUUUUUUAUUAGAUUGCUAUUACAUAGAAAUAGUAACAAUCAAAUAAGAAGUUGUAAUUAAGAUUGAUUACACAGGGAAAUUUUCAUGUGAAACAUGCAUUGAGAAUCCAAGAUAGAAAGAGUCUGGUUUUCAGUUUUCCUUGUUAAGGUGUCUUCUGCAUUAUUUGGAAAUUGUUGUUGUAGUAGACAUGCUGUGGGCCAUUCAGUCAAUAAAUCGCUGGGCAUUGGACUACAAAGUCUAGGGUUCAUAUUCCACCACAGCACUUGCAUUCUUUGGUAAGCCGUUGAUUUACAUUUGCCACCCUCCACCUGGGUUUGGGUGCGCCUGGUAGGAAGGAACUCCUUGAUUGCUUGAGCAUCCAUAGAAUCACUUGAGCUGUGCUUAAGAAACAUAAACUGAAACAUAAACUUAGAAACCAUAAAAUUUAAAGUGCACUGUAUGAAUGGUGCAUAUCAUCAUCUUUAGUAGUAGAGUGUUGAUAGUUAUUUCUCUUGGAAGUUUGUUUUAAGUUAAAGGGGUGUUGUCCCAGUUCAAUUGAGGUGCCAUGUCUUUGUUGACUCAUUGUUUAUACUUUUUAAGCAUAUUCUCUUGGUAUUCACCUGUGUGUCAGUAUGAAGGUCAACAAACUUUUUAAAGAGAAAUGUAUGAGAAGUACACAUCCAAUUUGAUGAAUAAUCAUAUUUAAUUUUUAUUGAAAAAAAAAUAUCCAAUUUGAUUAAGAAGACAUCUUAAGUGAGAAUGAUUGUAAAGUACAUUGUAUUCUUUUUAAUGAAUAUUGACAUGUUUUGUUCGUCCUGUUGUCUUUACAAAACAAUAUUCUCUGUUUCUUU
RNAcentral lists this unclassified non-coding RNA (7488 nucleotides) under Lytechinus variegatus (green sea urchin). RNAcentral's name for it is "wD repeat-containing protein 17-like, transcript variant X2". Lineage: Eukaryota; Metazoa; Echinodermata; Echinoidea; Temnopleuroida; Toxopneustidae. The record is from RNAcentral.